Non-coding RNA from Podarcis lilfordi (Lilford's wall lizard), 68 nucleotides. The record is from the annotation of a GenBank genome assembly. NCBI's taxonomy places the organism in Eukaryota, Metazoa, Chordata, Lepidosauria, Squamata, Lacertidae.
CCGCUCAGUCUGUAGAGCAUGAGACUCUAAAUCUCAAGAUCGUGAGUUCGAGCCCCAGUUGGGCAGGA